RNAcentral lists this ribosomal RNA (814 nucleotides) under uncultured bacterium. Its description in RNAcentral is "bacterial SSU rRNA". It matches the Rfam family "Bacterial small subunit ribosomal RNA", at positions 8 to 796 of the family's 1533-position model. The record is from RNAcentral.
AGAGUUUGAUCCUGGCUCAGAAUGAACGCUGGCGGCGUGCUUAACACAUGCAAGUCGAACGAGAAAGGGAUUGCUUGCAAUCCCGAGUAGAGUGGCGCACGGGUGAGUAACACGUAGAUAAUCUGCCUUCAAGCCUGGGAUAACUAUUCGAAAGGGUAGCUAAUACCGGAUAAAGUCGAUCUACACAAGUAGAUUGAUGAAAGAUUGCCUCUUCUUGAAAGCAAUUGUUUGGAGAUGAGUUUGCGUACCAUUAGCUUGUUGGUGGGGUAAAGGCCUACCAAGGCAACGAUGGUUAGCUGGUCUGAGAGGAUGAUCAGCCACACUGGAACUGGAACACGGUCCAGACUCCUACGGGAGGCAGCAGUGAGGAAUUUUGCGCAAUGGGGGCAACCCUGACGCAGCAACGCCGCGUGAGUGAAGAAGGCCUUUGGGUCGUAAAGCUCUGUCAACAGGGAAGAAGUUACAAUUGUUUAAUAGAUGGUUGUAUUGACGGUACCUGUGGAGGAAGCGCCGGCUAACUACGUGCCAGCAGCCGCGGUAAUACGUAGGGUGCGAGCGUUAAUCGGAAUUAUUGGGCGUAAAGGGCGCGCAGGCGGUCUUGUCCGUCAGGUGUGAAAGCUCGGGGCUCAACCCCGGAAGUGCACUUGAAACAGCAAGACUUGAAUACGGGAGAGGAAAGCGGAAUUCCUGGUGUAGAGGUGAAAUUCGUAGAUAUCAGGAGGAACACCGAUGGCGAAGGCAGCUUUCUGGACCGAUAUUGACGCUGAGGCGCGAAGGCGUGGGUAGCAAACGGGAUUAGAUACCCUGGUAGUCG